RNAcentral lists this ribosomal RNA (1467 nucleotides) under metagenome. Its description in RNAcentral is "bacterial LSU rRNA". It matches the Rfam family "Bacterial large subunit ribosomal RNA", at positions 1388 to 2925 of the family's 2925-position model. The record is from RNAcentral.
AAGCUAAGGCGAGGCCGAAAGGCGUAGUCGAUGCUCAUACGGUUGAAAUUCCCUAGCCGCCGAAAUUGUUAAGCACAGGGACACAUAGAGAUAUCCGAACCCGGGCGUUGGUUGACCCGGGCGCGCGGGACCGAACAUCAGUAGGGAAGUCGGAGAUGCUCUGUGGCGAGAAAAGCUGUGUGUAUUGAUUAGGCGCCCGUACCGCAAACCGACACAGGUAGAUGAGGAGAGAAUCCUAAGGCCAACGGGAGAAGGGUUGUUAAGGAACUCGGCAAAUUGACCCCGUAACUUCGGGAUAAGGGGAGCCUCCUACGGGAGGCCGCAGUGAAUAGGCCCAAGCAACUGUUUACCAAAAACACAGGUCUCUGCUAAAUCGAAAGAUGACGUAUAGGGGCUGACGCCUGCCCGGUGCCGGAAGGUUAAGAGGAGAGCUUAGCGCAAGCGAAGGUUCGAAUUGAAGCCCCGGUAAACGGCGGCCGUAACUAUAACGGUCCUAAGGUAGCGAAAUUCCUUGUCAGGUAAGUUCUGACCCGCACGAAUGGCGUAAUGAUUUGGGCACUGUCUCAACAGCCCGCCCGGCGAAAUUGUAGUACUGGUGAAGAUGCCAGUUACCCGCAACUAGACGGAAAGACCCCAUGGAGCUUUACUGUAGCCUAAUACUGAAGAUCGGUAAUGCAUGUACAGGAUAGGUGGGAGCCAGCGAAACCCGGGCGUCAGCUCGGAUGGAGGCAACCUUGGAAUACCACCCUUGUAUUGCUGGUUUUCUAACCUGCGGCCAUGAAUCUGGUCGGGGGACACUGUUAGGUGGGCAGUUUGACUGGGGCGGUCGCCUCCAAAAGCGUAACGGAGGCGCUCAAAGGUUGGCUCAGCACGGACGGAAAUCGUGCAUAGAGUGCAAACGCAUAAGCCAACUUGACUGCGAGACCGACGGGUCGAGCAGGUACGAAAGUAGGAGUUAGUGAUCCGGUGGUAUGUGAGUGGAAAUGCCAUCGCUCAACGGAUAAAAGCUACCCUGGGGAUAACAGGCUGAUCUCCCCCAAGCGUCCACAGCGACGGGGAGGUUUGGCACCUCGAUGUCGGCUCGUCACAUCCUGGGGCUGUAUUCGGUCCCAAGGGUUCGGCUGUUCGCCGAUUAAAGUGGCACACGAGCUGGGUUCAGAACGUCGUGAGACAGUUCGGUCCCUAUCUGUUGCGGGCGCAGGAGAUUUGAAGGGAGCUGUCCUUAGUACGAGAGGACCGGGAUGGACAGACCUCUGGUGCACCAGUUGUCGUGCCAACGGCACAGCUGGGUAGCUACGUCUGGACGAGAUAAACGCUGAAAGCAUCUAAGUGUGAAACUCCCCCUAAGAUAAGAUCUCCCAUCCAUUAGGAGUAAGGGACGACAAAGACUAUGUCGUUGAUAGGUCGGAAGUGUAAGUGCAGUAAUGCAUUGAGCUGACCGAUACUAAUAACCCGAGGGCUUGACCA